CCCAAUUCCCCCACACCCCCCCUUUCCGGAACCGCGGCUUGUCCGCGCAGCCACAGGGCUCCGCCAAUAUGGCGGCCGCCGUCACCUGUGCAGCAUGGAAACCAAAGGGGAGCCGCGUCAGAAUGAUAUCAUCUAGGCACUGAAAGUCUCCCUUAAUGGACAAUAAUGUAAUGGACAACUUGGGACCAAUAAAUUGUAGAGAAACUGUUGCCUUGGUGUUUCAUGAGCUGACGGGAAAACGUGGAGCGCCCAGUCAAGUAAUAGAACAUGGGAUAACGGUCAUGAGAGGGACUUCUAUUUAAGGAGAGGAUCAUCGCCCCUAAACCUUUUUAAAGGACCAGUAACACCAAGUUAGCUUAACACUUAAUUCCCCCAAAACUUCUCUAUAAGUCAGGCUUAGUCUCCCCUUUGGUUUUCUUUUUAAAUCUUGAGUUUCAAUCUGACUUCCAAUGUGAAAAGGUGACGGCCGCUUGAAUUCCUCUGUCUGCUGAACCAGAAGUCAGCUUCACAU
Long non-coding RNA from Xenopus laevis (African clawed frog), 511 nucleotides. RefSeq lists it as uncharacterized. The transcript is spliced from 2 exons. The record is from RefSeq and is a predicted model, not a curated record. Lineage: Eukaryota; Metazoa; Chordata; Amphibia; Anura; Pipidae.